UACGUAGGGGGCAAGCGUUGUCCGGAAUCAUUGGGCGUAAAGCGCGUGUAGGCGGCUCAGUACGUCUGUUCUGAAAGUCCAAGGCUCAACCUUGGGAUGCGGAUGGAUACUGCUGGGCUCGAGUCCGGAAGAGGCGAGUGGAAUUCCUGGUGUAGCGGUGAAAUGCGCAGAUAUCAGGAGGAACACCGGUGGCGAAGGCGGGACUCUGGGCCGAUACUGACGCUGAGGAGCGAAAGCGUGGGGAGCAAACAGG
This 253-nucleotide ribosomal RNA is filed under the name uncultured bacterium. RNAcentral describes it as "partial 16S ribosomal RNA". It matches the Rfam family "Bacterial small subunit ribosomal RNA", at positions 524 to 776 of the family's 1533-position model. The record is from RNAcentral.